This 2783-nucleotide long non-coding RNA is filed under the name Hordeum vulgare. RNAcentral describes it as "long non-coding RNA (HVUL_LNC009193)". Lineage: Eukaryota; Viridiplantae; Streptophyta; Magnoliopsida; Poales; Poaceae. The record is from RNAcentral.
CGAAGAAGAGUUUGGCGUCUGUUCUGAGUUUUUUGAUUUGAGUUGCAGAAGUGCCCUGAAAUAAUUAUUUACUACCUGCUCGUCUGUUUUUCACAGAUUCUGCCACGUUUUGCGUUUUCAUCGUUUUGCAAAAAACUUUUUGGCAAUCUUGAGAAACAGUAUCUCUUCAUGAAAAUCUUUAUUUCCAGUGGAAAAAAUUUAUUUUUAUUAUGGGUACUAACCACUCUAAUCAGCUUAUGAUGAGUUUCGUAUGAAGGGAGUUUUCAAGUAUGCGAUGGAAGAUGAUGAAAGAAGAUCCAGGAGUGUCAAACGCUCAAGCUUGGGGAUGCCCCCAUUUACCCCCAAGAAUUAUCCAAGGACACUCAAGUGUCUAAGCUUGGGGAUACUCCCGUGCAUCCCCUUCUCCAUCAACAAUCAUCAGUUCGUCCUUCUCCAUGCUAUACUUUUAUCACUUCAUAUGUUAUGUGCUAUGCUUGGAGCGUCUCACUCUUUACUUUUUAGUUUAUUUUAGUUUUUGCUUGUUGUUCAUAACAAGUUGGACCCUAGCCUUCUUUGUUUGGGGGGAGAAACACGCUCCACUCCACCAUAGAACACAACAUAGGUUUUCUUGCUUAUCUUUUUGUGUGGUCUUUAUCUUUUCAUAGCUGUUGUCAUGCUUAGCUCUUAGUUUUCACGCUUUAUCUUUUUAAGAGAUUUUAUUUAGAUGCUUUUGGAACUCUCUUGAGUUAUCAUGCUUAUCUUGUUUAGAGAGUUGGCUUGCUGCACUGAGUCGUGUGUCUUGCAUGAGUAGGUAACUGAGGUUGCUAUUUAAGUAUAGUAGUAACUUGCAAUAGUUUUGAGGUAUUGAUUUGAGUAAUGUUUGGACUUUUGGUGUCAAGAGCAUGAGCCUAUUAGUGAUAGGUCUCGUAUUUUGGAAAAUCCGUGUGUAUUUUCAAAAACUACAAAAAAUUAGUUGAGAACUCUAGCUACUAGAUGGAUCUCUAACCUCUGGAGGGGUUGGAAUAUAUAGAGUACCCUCACGUUAUCAUGGGUCGAGGAUGCGCAAGGAUAACCAAACCCCCAAACACUCUUUCUUGGGAUACUUGUCUCUUUGUGAAUCUCCUGACUAGAUAGAGAGUUACCGAUAAUAAGUGCAUGAGUUGUUCGGACUAAUGCGAGUAUUCAAUUGUUGGCUCUUCCACCAUCCAUAUUUUGCUAGCCUCUUCGGUACCUUGCAUUGCCCUUUCUCAUCUUGAGAGUUGGUGCAUACUUCGCUGGUGCAUUCAAACCCUUGGCAUGAUACGCUCUGUCAUCAUAAGCUCAUUAUAUCCUUCCUCAAAACAGCCACCAUACCUACCUAUCAAGGCAUUUCCAUAGUCUUUCCGAGAUACAUUGCCAUGCAACAUCCACCAUCUCAUGACUUGAUCUUCAUGUCAUACAUGCUUUUUCUUGAUCGAGGAGCCACAUGCUAGUUUGGCUUUGCCCUUAUUAUUGCUACAUGAUGCGCUAGUAUCAUUGCAUAUCCUGCUACACUGGCAGAGGCAUACAUUUUCAUACAUCAUGAUAGUUUUCAUUUAUCUUUAUGUUGAGUACUUCUUAUAAAGUGUGAAGAUCUUCUUUCUUAUUUCUUGUAAAAUAUAGAGUGUUGCCCUUAAGUGAGGAAAAUAUCCCAAAGAGGACAAAUUAAAAGAUCCCAAAAGAGAACACAUGAAAAGAUCCCAAAGAGGACAAAUGAGAGAUAAAUAGAAAGAGCCAAGGAGGCCACAAAAUAUAAAAGGGAAAGAAAUAAAAAGAGAGAAGGGGGCAACACUACUAUUCCCUUUGAAAGUUCCACACUCGUACUCCAUUAUCAUAUUUGUACUCCAUAGAGAUUAUCAUUCAUGCAUAACUAUGUGGGGACCCUUACACUAUAGAACUUGGCUUUGUAUAUUCCAAUGAUGAGCCUCCUCAAAUGAGCUCUAGGUCUUCAUGAGCAAGCAAGUUGGAUGCACCCCCACUAGUUCCAUUAGAGAGGUUAUCUUAGCUCAUAUGUGCAUCUGUUGCAUGGUAAUCCCUACUCCUCACAUCAUAUCUAUCAUUUUGCUUUCUCUUGCCUAUGGUUGUCCUCAUUGAUGUGAGCCUUUCACACCUUCUUUGUCUACCUUCCCCAUCAUUAUUCUCUUUGCCACCCUAAGUGCCAACAUAUCUUGCUUGCGCUCAUCCAUUGCAUGAGUUCUCAAAGUCGAAAGGGAGAGGAUCAUUUUGACUUGUGCCUGACUAGUGGUCUGGGGAUGAGUCAAAAUAAGAUUCAGAAGGAGACCAAGUGUGAAGUUUUAGUAGAUUGAGUUCUCAAUUAAACUAUAUAAUAUUUUUUAUGCUCUAAACCCAUCUCCUACUUCUUGCACGCAAACACCAUUUGGAGACAUUCGCGUCACGGAUAGUGAGAGCUCUUGCACCUUUAUGUUCUUACUUUGCUAGUUUCAAUACUACAUAUAGACUCUUGCGUGUUAUUGUCUUGACUUGAAUUGCAUAUCUUAAUUGCUUUACUUUGAAGUUCUUAUAUGUGUGUUAGCAUGUCACCACAGAAAUUAUGCUUGUUAUCAUUUACCUACUCGAGGACGAGCAGGAAUUAAGCUUGGGGAUGUUGAUACGUCCCAAACGUAUCUAUAAUUUCUGCUUGCUCCAUGCAAGUUUUGGGUGAUAUUGCUAUGUGUUUUGUACACUUUCAUACCUUUUUCAACAUAUUUGGAAUAACCUACUAACUCAGUGCACCCAGUGCUAAUAUAUGUGUGCUGAUGUCUGUGAAUUGCAGAUUUAUACCCAUA